This is a small nuclear RNA of Suncus etruscus (white-toothed pygmy shrew), 110 nucleotides long. Lineage: Eukaryota; Metazoa; Chordata; Mammalia; Eulipotyphla; Soricidae. The record is from RefSeq and is a predicted model, not a curated record.
GUGCUCGCUUUGGCAACACAUAUACUAAAAAAUUGGAACAAUACAGAAAAAAAUGAACACAGUCCCUGUGCAAGGAUGACAUGCAAAUUUGUGAAGCAUUGCGAAAAUUA